Long non-coding RNA from Trematomus bernacchii (emerald rockcod), 265 nucleotides. RefSeq lists it as uncharacterized. The transcript has 3 exons. The record is from RefSeq and is a predicted model, not a curated record. NCBI's taxonomy places the organism in Eukaryota, Metazoa, Chordata, Actinopteri, Perciformes, Nototheniidae.
AUCAUGCAUUUUACCAAGCAUUCAGAUUCCUCUGGACCCCAGUGAUAAAAGAUCAAGUUAUCCCAAUCUGAAGUGCAGACGCUGAUCGAGCAGGAGGUUCAAACUGCACUGAAAAAGAAAGAAAACAAGCUGCUGGGUUUAAUAGGAACGAUUCAAGAGCAGGAUGAAUCACUGGACUACAAAAGCUCCAUCCAAAAACUGGAGGAGCGGAUGAACACAGUAACCAGGAGAGCGGAACCAGCUAUCGCCUUCAUGACAAAGACAC